UCCAGACUCCUACGGGAGGCAGCAGUGAGGAAUAUUGGUCAAUGGGCGGAAGCUUGAACCAGCCAAGUCGCGUGAGGGAUUAAGGCCCUGCGGGUCGUAAACCUCUUUUGCCGGGGAGCAGAGGUCCGGACGUGUCCGGGCCGGGAGAGUACCCGGAGAAAAAGCAUCGGCUAACUCCGUGCCAGCAGCCGCGGUAAUACGGAGGAUGCGAGCGUUAUCCGGAUUUAUUGGGUUUAAAGGGUGCGCAGGCGGAGGUGCAAGUCAGCGGUCAAAUUGCGGGGCUCAACCCCGUACUGCCGUUGAAACUGCAUCCCUUGAGUGCGCGAGAAGUAUGCGGAAUGCGUGGUGUAGCGGUGAAAUGCAUAGAUAUCACGCAGAACUCCGAUUGCGAAGGCAGCAUACCGGCGCCCAACUGACGCUGAAGCACGAAAGCGUGGGUAUCGAACAGGAUUAGAUACCCGAGUA
Molecule: ribosomal RNA, 465 nt
Filed under: uncultured bacterium
Lineage: Bacteria
Description: bacterial SSU rRNA
Rfam family: Bacterial small subunit ribosomal RNA
Source: RNAcentral